RNAcentral lists this long non-coding RNA (2565 nucleotides) under Sarcophilus harrisii (Tasmanian devil). Its description in RNAcentral is "lncRNA (ENSSHAG00000022845.1)". Lineage: Eukaryota; Metazoa; Chordata; Mammalia; Dasyuromorphia; Dasyuridae. The record is from RNAcentral.
CCCAUCAACUGGGAAACAAUUGGACAAAUUGCUAUAUGAUUGUAAUACAAUACUAUUGUGAUAUUAAUGAACAUAUUUAAAAAAAAAAAAAACCUGGAAAGACAAACAAGAACAUGAUGCUGAAUGAAGUGAGCAGAAUCAGAACACAAAACACAGUUACUACAGAGAUCAUAAGUUAGCUCUUUUGAGCAAUGAUCAAAGACAAUUCCAAAAUAUGCAGUUUGGAAAAUGCUAUCAAAAUCCAGAGAAAGAACUAUGGAUUCUGAAUGCAGAUGAAAAGAAGCUAUUUUCACUUUUUUUUGUUUGUUUGUUUUCCCUUAUGUUGUAUGUCUUCUUUCACAAUAUGACUUCCAUGGAAAUGUUUAACAUGAUUGAACACAUGUAAUCUAUUAGAUUGAUGUCAAGGAGGGAGAAAAAUUGGAACCCAAAAAUCUUAUUUUAAAAAAAAAGUAUUAAAAACUGUUUUUACACAUAAUUUUAAAAAUUUUUGCAAAAAAAAAAAAUUUAAACUAAAAAUAUGAAAAUGAAAACUUAAUUAUGUUGGGUAAUUCGCAUAACCAAGGUCAGGUAUUUCAGAUUCCUCACCCUAAUCCGCUUUUCUAAAGGAGACAUGAAUCUGAAUUGGCACCGAUUGCCAAACUGUUAGUGAAUUUACCCCUCAGAAGUCAGAAAAACACAGUAAAUUGUUUUAUUAGUUGUCAAUGUUAAAGAAUUGAUGAUGCAGAUUAAAGUUGGAUGUCACUAUGUACAUUCAGAGAGCUGGUUGUUGGAACAGUAUUACUAACACACUCCUGGGUAUUAUUUAGAUUAUGGUCAUUGCCAUAUGUUAAAUCCUUAUCUGCCUUGGUGGUUGUGCAUAAAUUCAUAAAUUCUUAAAGACAGGGACCAGCAUGUAUACUUAUUGUGUAUCUAAUUUAAUUUUAAUAUAUUUAACAUCUACUGGUCAUCCUGCCAUCUGGGGGAGGGGGUGGGGUGGGGGUAAGCGGUGAAAAAUUGGAACAAGAGGUUUGGCAAUUGUUAAUGCUGUAAAGUUACUCAUACAUAUAACCUGUAAAUAAAAGGAUAUUAAAAAAAAAAAAAAAAAAAAGACAGGGACCAGUAUUCUUGGUACAGAACCAGCCCAUUGCCAAGAAUGACUUUUUUGGGUAAUGAUGUAGUUUUUCUAUUGUUAAUUCUAAUCACUCCAAGAGUCAUGUGCAUGUUUUUAAAAAAAGGGAUCAUUUCAUAAUGUAGCUUGAGAUAUGCACUUGGAUUGGGGUAACACAUAUCUGAAGAAGGCAACUUUGCAUUAUCAAAUACAUUAAAAUUUCUGCAAUAUUUCCUUGCCCACUCUCUGUGGAGAAUCACAAAUCUGAAACUGCAUUAGGUUAGAGUGAUGAGGUUGCUUUCCGAUUCACUAAAUGCCCCAAGUUGUCAGCUCCAAGGUUCUUGCACUUACACUAGAAAAUGCUUUAAGCACUAAAAUCAUGGGAUUUCUAAAACUAAUAAGAUCAUCAAAUUUAUUUGAAACCAGGUCCUUGAACUUCAGGUCCAACACACUAUGCAAAAAACACCCCUUACCUCCAAUUGUCACCAACCUUCCCAGGGAAGGGAACCAGGGUCCUUCUUGAAAGCUUCUAGUUAUUUUUGUCAAGUUGAUAAAUGGCCCCGAGGUUGGUUUUCCCUUUCCAAGUCUCUCCUAGAAGACUUCUCAAAGCCAAGCAUUUGACCCCAAUUCAUUCCUCUUAAAUUCAGGGCACAUAAAUGCACCAUCUGACAAUAAAUUUAUAUUAUUCUUAGGAUUGUAUUACUUCUCAUUUGGUGGUGAAUCAUCUCCCCUCUCUUCCCAUCUGUUUCCUGGAUUGGAAUUCUAUCCCCUCUGGUGCAGUGAUUAAUACAUUCUCUAUCUAGGUGGUUAAGAAAAUAACACAUAUCCUGUACUGUUUACCUUGGAAAAGAAAUUAAGACCACUGUACAUUGCCAAUAAAAAUUUCUGUAAUGGAUGCUCAACUUGAUGUUUGUUGUCUCCUAAGAUGGAGGAAGCCAUUGUACAAACCAAAACCUAUUUCAUACCCAGCUUCUAAAUGCAUUUGGUUAUUUUUAAAUACAAUUUCUUCCAGCUUUUUUUUCCCCUAGGAAAGUUGCCCAUUAGAGUUAGAACUCAAGACUACUGGCCCAGUCAUAAACUGCUUAAUAAAAGGCCCAACUCAGAAUCAACCCUGAUAUUUUCAUUCCAUUAACAACCAGCAUGCUGGCAACUGAUUUCCUGCAUUUGCUCAACACUUUGAAAUGGUUUUUACAUGACAGUAUACUCCUUUGCAGACUACUAUUGAUAUCCUCAAGUAGGCAGUGUUCCCAUUAACCAUCUUCCAAAGAAAAAUCACUGGAGAAAGGCCAAGACUUUUAAAACCCUUCCCCUACUUUAUUUUUGUCUGCCUUUGAGAACCAUAUUUUAAUACCUGGUUAAUAUGGCCAGAUGUCAACUGUACUCAAAUAUUUGUAAAUAUAUGCCAAGCCACAUACUUGGAAUUCUCCAACCUCCAAGUUAAACCAAUUUCAGCUUUUUGGUCCCAAGCCUCAAAUUGU